This 388-nucleotide long non-coding RNA is filed under the name Physcomitrium patens. Its description in RNAcentral is "long non-coding RNA (PPAT_LNC014894)". Lineage: Eukaryota; Viridiplantae; Streptophyta; Bryopsida; Funariales; Funariaceae. The record is from RNAcentral.
GUAAAUUUGAGGUCAUUUUGCAGGUUGUGUGAAGUUGUUUAUAGAUACUAUAUUAGAGGUCAUUUUGUAGGUUAUGUGAAGUUGUUUAAAGAUAAUAAAUUGGAGGUUAUUUUGUAAGUUAUGUGAAGUUAUUUAUAGAUAGUAAAGUCGAGGUCAUUUUAUAGGUUAUGUGAAGUUAUUUAUUGAUAGUAAGUUGGAGAUUAUUUUGUAGGUUAUGUAAAGUUGUUUAAAGUUAGUAAAUUAGAGGUCAUUAUGUAUGUAGAGUGAAGUUUUUUAUAGAAAGUAAAUUAGAUGUUAUUUUUUGGAUUAUAUAAAUUUAUUUAAAGAUAGUAAAUUAGAGGCCCUUUUAUAAGUUUUAUGAAUUUGUUUAAAUAUAGAAAAUUUGAGG